CAUUCCAAGAAGAGCUGGAGAAAAACAUGCGACAGGAGCGGGGAAUGUGAAAGAAGACAGCCUUGGCGCCAUUCAUCCGAGAGCCUUUUGACAAUGUUUGACAGUCGCCGUGGCGUGAUCAGGUAGAGAGAGACCCAAGUGCAUGCUGUUGCAAUGCUUGUGUGCUGGGGCAGAUGAGAGGACACCUGAGAAGUCCUUGAGAAGAGUCAGGGAGCCUCCUGUCCCGCGGUGAGCUCAGCGUGUGGUCGGGACCUGUCAUAAGCCUCCCAAGCCAAGCCAAACCAACCCAACUCAACUGUCACGCCGUAACCCCCUCAGUCAGACGUCAAAAUGUUCCCGCUGUGCCAUGAGGAAUUAAAGGUGGGUUAUAUGUGAAGCCUUUUGAUCCUCUUAGAAAUGUCUGAACAGUUUGCAGAAGAAAUAAAAAGCACUAAUCAGCUAAUAGAGUCAAGUGCAACUGUAGUCUUGUGCAAUGGCCAUGGUUAUCUUUGUCAAUGAAAUAGAUCCAAGUCAUUGUUCUUUAACAAUGUGCUGCAGC
This is a long non-coding RNA of Syngnathus acus (greater pipefish), 538 nucleotides long. RefSeq lists it as uncharacterized. The transcript is spliced from 3 exons. The record is from RefSeq and is a predicted model, not a curated record. Lineage: Eukaryota; Metazoa; Chordata; Actinopteri; Syngnathiformes; Syngnathidae.